This 347-nucleotide long non-coding RNA is filed under the name Arabidopsis lyrata. RNAcentral describes it as "long non-coding RNA (ALYR_LNC002849)". Lineage: Eukaryota; Viridiplantae; Streptophyta; Magnoliopsida; Brassicales; Brassicaceae. The record is from RNAcentral.
CUUAUAAUUUAAUCUAAAAUGUUCUCAUUUCAUAUAUGUGGAUUUGAUUGUUAGAAUCAGAUUAAUGUUUUUUUUCUCUAUAAAAUGGGGAAACGACGAUUUGUGACACUAACUAGUUCACAUGCAUCAAGUAUGCAUUUCUGGUAAGUUUUCCGUCGAUAUAAAUAUGAAGUUUUAAGAACCUAUUCUAUGCAGUUAUAAAUAUUAUAACUUUGACUUGCCAUGAACAUAAUUCCAGAAGACUAUAGAGCCGACUUUGCCCCAUUCGCCUUCAUGAAGCUCACAGCCCUGAAUUUUCCCUGGAGUUGCUUUGGAGACAUGGUGUGGUCUCCCAGCAAACAUGUGAU